AACAUCUGUAUAUAGAGGGUCUGACUUAACAUCUAUAGAGGGUCUAACUGAAUGUCUGUCUAUAGAGGGUCUGACUGAGCAUCUGUUGUAUUUAAACAACUUUUUCAUAUCAGUCUGACAUAUAAAUAUAAUGUUUGAACUCUGGCCCUCAGAAAUGUGCAGGAAAUAAGUAACCUGCACCUGGGUUGCUCUUCAAACGGUUAUUGUAGAGACAAGUCAUCAAUUUGCACACUGAUCAAAAAUUCUCUUCUUUCAUACAAGUGUAUAUUAUUUGAUGAGCGACCCAUGUGUGGGUCACUUAUUUCCAUCACCUUUGGAGGGCAAGAGUUCUGACAUUAUAAAAAGUUGAUAACACACCAGAAUAGUUCAGGCUUGGAUUGACGGAGUGAAUGUAGUAUUUAAUAAUGCCAUUAUUUACCUCACACCAAUCAUAAAGGUCCACACAGAAUCACUGUGUAUAACAAGUCCAGACUUGUAGCUAACUAAGACAGUGUAGACACAAUGUACAUAUAAAAUCUAAGUUAUACUGUAUAUUAUAUGUUAUCUCAUUUUUUCUAUUGACUCAACAUGUAUAAGAUUGCAAUCUCAGGGUGUGAUUAUUAUGUAGGUGCAAUAGCUGAUAAUGCAGUGUCCAAUCACAGGGACUUGCAAUUGAUGAAUUUUAGUGUUAGUAUACACAGGUACCUGUGAUUGGGGAAUUCCAGUGUCAGUAUACACAGGUACCUGUGAUUGGGGAAUUCAAGUGUCAGUAUACACAGGGACUUGUGAUUGGGGAAUUCCAGUGUCAGUAUACACGGGUACCUGUGAUUGGGGAAUUCCAGUGUCAGUAUACACAGGGACCUGUGAUUGGGGAAUUCCAGUGUCAGUAUACACAGGGACCAGUGAUUGGGGAAUUCCAGUGUCAGUAUACACAGGGACCUGUGGUGUAGAUAUACUUUGUAUACACAGGGGCUUGUGAUGUUGACUGUGCAGUGUCUAUACACAGGGGCUUGUGAUGUAAGCACUUCAGGGUUAUAUAUAUACAUAGGGACCUGUGGUGUAUAUAUAUAUAUCAUGUAUACACAGGGGUGUGUUAUCUAUUGAAAGAUUCUUUUUUAUAACUUUGCGUAGUUUUGUACUGUGAAACAAUCAUGUUGGGAUGAGAGUAAUCCCAGGCUUGGCAUAAACUUGUUAGGGUAAAGUUCCCUCGAUAGAUAUUUUCCUUUUUUUUGCUAUGAACACCUACUUAUUUUGAAAAUUGUGAAAUAUUUUAUCCUGUAAUUUUUGUUCUACACAACACUACAACUGCUCUAUCUUUUUUAACUGACUGCUACAUUUAAACAAUCAGGAAUCAUUGGAUGGGGAGGAGUAUCAAAAUAUUUCAUACAGAAAUAACUUCAUUCAGUGUGCUUAGAGUUUAAUGUUUCACAUAUUAAAAGGAUGUAAUGAAAUAUAUGAUAAUAUGUAAAAGAUAGCUUUCAAGUAAAUUAUAGUAUUAUAUGUCAGAAUAUUAGAUUAAUAUAACAUCAUGUGACAUUAAACAUUAUAAUAAAUGGAAUGUGAUAUAAACAGAAGUUCACUUAAUAUGAAAUUAAAAUUAGAUAUUUCAGCUUUUCCUGACGAGUCAAUAUUUUAACAUUAAUUCAAAAUUGGACUUAAAACAUCUCAGCUCUUUUUUCCACUGUGUUGCACCUAGGCACCAAGUCUUAGCGUGGACACUCACAGUCAUUACACAGAGCCUGUUUUUAUUGAUAACCAUUUGAUUAAAAACAAUGACAUAAUAUGAGUGAUAAUUAUCACUAUUUAUACAUGAUAUCUUGGGAAACUGCAAAUAGCAAUACAACAUAAUAUUGAACCAACUUAUACAUGUGAUAGAGAUUGAUACAAAAUGUACUGUUAUUAGCUACAUUGCAUUUGUAAAAAAAAUUUAAGUGCUGCUUGUUUGAAAUCUUUUCUAGUUAGCGAUAUAGAACAGAAAAAAGGUUCUGUAAUUCUUACUGUAUAUGUGCUCAUCUUACAGAGUCCUUUUUUCAUUUUUUUUUGUUUUUUUUUUGUUUUUUGUUUUAUUAUUAUCAUUAAAAUUUGAAAUUGAAGUUUUAACCUGCAGUGAAUUAUUGCAGGCAUUUUUGCCUACUAAUGGGACCAAUUCACAACAGCGGAUAACAGUGGAUAACUCCCAUCGUUUAUCCCGGCCAUAAGAUUAUCACGGCCCUGCCGUUUAUCACUACUACAGGUAUUGGUACAAUUCAUUAACUCACCUGUACUGUUAUGAUGUCAAUCUGUGGAAGAAUAUCUACUGCCGAAAUACUGUUUAGACCUCUCGAUGUGAUGGAAAUACAAACCUUGUUGUCAUAUAUACCUCUGAUAUACAUACUUCUGUUUAUAUUAUUUUGUAUGUUAUCUAAAACUUAUUCUAUAAUGUUCUACUGCAGACUUCAUGCUUUAGGAAAGACUGCAAUAUAUGUGAUGUGUUAUCAUGUUAUAAAGGCAUAUUGUAAAAUCACAAGACAAGUUUAAUAUCACAUCAAAUUUAGCCCGGUCAUAGAAGGGAAAUCAAUUUGUUUAUUAUCCUUCCCUUUCACCAACAUGGGAGGUAUUAUUGUUGUCCAUGCGUCUGGUUUGUCUGUCUUGCAUCUUUACAUGCAAAUGUUAACAGAUUUUCUAUAAUCUUGGCCACUUUUUCCUGACUUUAUUUAAUGGAGUUAUGGCCCCUUGAUUAACUAAACACAUUGUUACAUGUAUCUGCUGUUUCUUUGAAAUAACUGGAACAGUUCUUAGAUCGUCUUCAAACUUGAUAACAACGUUGAAUGCCUUAAGGGCUAGGCCAAGUUUGAUAGCCAUUAAUGUUAUUUGGCAGAGUUAUGGCCCCUUGAUUAAUGAAAAUAAUUGUUUUCUGCUGUUUCUAUGCAAUAACUCCCAUAAAUAUUAUCUGAUUAUCUUCAAACUUAGUUAAACAGUUAUCCCCCCUUGAUUCAACAAAUUUUAUCAUUGUGUUGGGCUAUGAUGACAUGUUUACUCCUAACCUUUUCUACAAUAUGUCAGGAAAGCAGGAGAUCUAAAUUCUAUGAAUUUGCUAUUUUUCUUAUCAUUAUGGGUUAUCAGGUAAAAAGAAUCUUAUAUUUUAAUCAACUUCAGUAUAGAAAUUACUUAACUCAUUAAAUAAUGGAAUAUGCAAAAUGUCUGAAGGUUCAUGAAUUAUUAAUUUAGUUAAAUAAAUUCUUGAUUACACCAGCACCAGAUCCUCUUUAUACAUGUAUAAGGAUAGCAACAUUUUCUUCUUAUUGUUUCUUGGUAUAGUUCAAGAAUAAUUGUUUUAAAAUACCAUUAUUUUUCAGCAUAUAUGGUUGUGUAAUUUUGUCAAAAAGUAAUUGUAUGACCUAUGCAGGAAGCAAAAUGUACCAUUUUGAUUUUUGAUUUUUUUUCAAACGUCAAGAGGGCCCGACCAGUAGAUAAUCUGCAGGUUAUACUCGGUUCUCUUUAUUUCUAUAGAUCAUUCUUGGUGUCCAUGCAAUGUUACUUGUAUUGAUAAUUAACAGGUAUACAGUUGUAAAAAGGGUGUGUCAAUCAUCUGAUCAUAUAGUUGUAUGACUAAAUAUUAACUUCAGUAAUAAAACAGUUGUAUGACUUUUUACUUCAAUCCUGGAGGAUAGUAGAGGAAUAUAACCCAGACGUUGGAGGAUAGUAGAGAAAUAUAGCCCAGACGUCGGAGGAUAGUAGAGGAAUAUAGCCCAGACGUCGGAGGAUAGUAGAGGAAUAUAGCCCACACGUCGGAGGAUAGUAGAGGAAUAUAGCCCACACGUCGGAGGAUAGUAGAGAAAUAUAGCCCACACGUCGGAGGAUAGUAGAGGAAUAUAGCCCAGAUGUCGGAGGAUAGUAGAGAAAUAUAGCCCACAGGUCGGAGGAUAGUAGAGGAAUAUAACCCACACGUCGGAGGAUAGUAGAGGAAUAUAGCCCACAGGUCGGAGGAUAGUAGAGGAAUAUAGCCCACACGUCGGAGGAUAGUAGAGGAAUAUAGCCCACACGUCGGAGGAGAGUAGAGGAAUAUAGCCCACACGUCGGAGGAUAGUAGAGGAAUAUAGCCCACACGUCGGAGGAUAGUAGAGGAAUAUAACCCACACGUCGGAGGAUAGUAGAGGAAUAUAGCCCACACGUCGGAGGAGAGUAGAGGAAUAUAGCCCACACGUCGGAGGAGAGUAGAGGAAUAUAGCCCACACGUCGGAGGAUAGUAGAGGAAUAUAGCCCACAUGUCGGAGGAUAGUAGAGAAAUAUAACCCACACGUCGGAGGAUAGUAGAGGAAUAUAGCCCACACGUCGGAGGAGAGUAGAGGAAUAUAGCCCACACGUCGGAGGAUAGUAGAGCCCACACGUCGGAGGAUAGUAGAGAAAUAUAACCCACACGUCGGAGGAUAGUAGAGGAAUAUAGUCCACACGUCGGAGGAGAGUAGAGGAAUAUAGCCCACACGUCGGAGGAGAGUAGAGGAAUAUAGCCCACACGUCGGAGGAUAGUAGAGGAAUAUAGCCCACACGUCGGAGGAUAGUAGAGAAAUAUAACCCACACGUCGGAGGAUAGUAGAGGAAUAUAGCCCACACGUCGGAGGAGAGUAGAGGAAUAUAGCCCCGACGUUGGAGGAUAGUAGAGGAAUAUAGCCCAGACGUCGGAGGAUAGUAGAGGAAUAUAGCCCACACGUCGGAGGAUAGUAGAGGAAUAUAGCCCAGACGUCGGAGGAUAGUAGAGGAAUAUAACCCACACGUCGGAGGAUAGUAGAGGAAUAUAGCCCACACGUCGGAGGAUAGUAGAGGAAUAUAGCCCACACGUCGGAGGAUAGUAGAGGAAUAUAGCCCAGAUGUCGGAGGAUAGUAGAGAAAUAUAGCCCAGACGUCGGAGGAUAGUAGAGGAAUAUAACCCACACGUCGGAGGAUAGUAGAGGAAUAUAGCCCACACGUCGGAGGAUAGUAGAGGAAUAUAGCCCACACGUCGGAGGAUAGUAGAGGAAUAUAGCCUUCAUGUCAACUGUUUUAUUACUGAAGUAAAUAUUUUUAUACUGUGGUCCAACAUUAGAUUCUCCUAGACCAGCUAGUUAUUGUUUUCAAAACACAGGAAUUGAAUAAGAAAUAUUCUUUUUCAAUUAAGAAACUCCCAUUUUGAGUUUGAUUACCUUGAUGUUGUAGACAUCCGUUGGAGUAUUCUGGUGAUGAAAUCCGUAGAUAGUAAUGUAUGUUGUUUUACACCUAGACAACUACUGUAUAUAGAACAUUCCACACACAAGCAUCACAAUGCUCAUGUUUUCAAUUCAUUGUUCCAAUAUUAGUCAGAAGUUGCACAUUUCCCAAAUGAAUAGUGUUGUUAUGAUGAUAGAGCUAAGUGUCGACAUUAAAGUUCUUUCUAUCUGAAGUUAUCAAUUGAUGUGAUUAUACUUGUGUAAUUAUACAUCAGAAUUGUGUACCUGAUGUCAUCAGAAUUGUGUACCUGAUGUCAUCAGAAUUGUGUACCUGAUGUCAUCAGAAUUGUGUACCUGAUUACAUCAGAAUUGUGUACCUGAUGUCAUCAGAAUUGUGUACCUGAUUACAUCAGAAUUGUGUACCUGAUGUCAUCAGAAUUGUGUACCUUAUGUCAUCAGAAUUGUGUACCUGAUUACAUCAGAAUUGUGUACCUGAUUACAUCAGAAUUGUGUACCUGAUGUCAUCAGAAUUGUGUACCUGAUUACAUCAGAAUUGUGUACCUGAUGUCAUCAGAAUUGUGUACCUGAUGUGAUUCCAUGCCAACAGUCGGCCACUUUAGUAGAGGUAUGUUACACAGCCAGUGCCAAUUUAAAUAUCCUCACUUAUAUAGUCAGGUGAUUUCAGAGCAAACUUUAGAAGCUUAUAAAAUCAAAUGAUAUGAUUAAGAAUUGGUGUAAUUUAUACUGACACUACUGUGUCACUACCCUUUUACAUAAUCAUCACACAAUGGAAAUCCUUCUUGUUAAGGUGAAGUGUACCAUCAAGUAUAUCAUUGUUGUUAUCAUCAAAAUUGUUUUCUAAAUCUCAUGUCAACAUGUACUUUACACAAUAAAUGGUUCUAAGGACCUAAUAACCCUAUAAGUCUAGGUCCAUCAGUCCUACAGACCUAAUAAUCCUAUAAGUCUAGGUCCAUCAGUCCUACACAGACCUAAUAAUCCUAUAAGUCUAGGUCCAUCAGUCCUACACAGACCUAAUAACCCUAUAAGUCUAGGUCCAUCAGUCCUACACAGACCUAAUAACCCUAUAUGUCUAGGUCCUUAAGUCCUACACCGACUUAAUAACCCUAUAAGUCUAGGUCCAUCAGUCCUACACAGACCUAAUAACCCUAUAAGUCUAGGUCCGUCAGUCCUACACAGACCUAAUAACCCUAUAAGUCUAGGUCCAUCAGUCCUACACAGACCGCAUAACCCUAUAAGUCUAUGUCCAUCAGUCCUACACCGACCUAAUAACCCUAUAAGUCUAGGUCCGUCAGUCCUACACAGACCGAAUAACCCUAUAUGUCUAUGUCCACCAGUCCUACACAGACCUAAUAACCCUAUAAGUCUAGGUCCAUCAGUCCUACACAAACCUAAUACUCUCUAUCAGUCCUACACAGACCUAAUAACCCUUUAAGUCUAGGUCCAUCAGUCCUACAGACCUAAUAAUCCUAUAAGUCUAGGUCCAUCAGUCCUACAGACCUAAUUACCCUAUAAGUCUAGGUGUAUCAGUCCUACACAGACCUAAUAACCCUAUAAGUCUAGGUCCAUCAGUCCUACACAGACCUAAUAACCCUAUAUGUCUAUGUCCAUCAGUCCUACACAGACCUAAUAACCCUAUAAGUCUAGGUCCAUCAGUCCUACAGACCUAAUAAUCCUAUAAGUCUAGGUCCAUCAGUCCUACAGACCUAAUAACCCUAUAAGUCUAGGUCCAUCAGUCCUACAGACCUAAUAACCCUAUAUGUCUAGGUCCAUCAGUCCUACACAGACCUAAUAACCCUAUAAGUCUAGGUCCAUCAGUCCUACACAGACCUAAUAACCCUAUAUGUCUAGGUCCUUAAGUCCUACACCGACUUAAUAACCCUAUAAGUCUAGGUCCAUCAGUCCUACACAGACCUAAUAACCCUAUAAGUCUAGGUCCGUCAGUCCUACACAGACCUAAUAACCCUAUAAGUCUAGGUCCGUCAGUCCUACACAGACCGAAUAACCCUAUAAGUCUAUGUCCAUCAGUCCUACACCGACCUAAUAACCCUAUAAGUCUAGGUCCGUCAGUCCUACACAGACCGAAUAACCCUAUAUGUCUAUGUCCACCAGUCCUACACAGACCUAAUAACCCUUUAAGUCUAGGUCCAUCAGUCCUACAGACCUAAUAAUCCUAUAAGUCUAGGUCCAUCAGUCCUACAGACCUAAUUACCCUAUAAGUCUAGGUGUAUCAGUCCUACACAGACCUAAUAACCCUAUAAGUCUAGGUCCAUCAGUCCUACACAGACCUAAUAACCCUAUAUGUCUAUGUCCAUCAGUCCUACACAUACCUAAUAACCCUAUAAGUCUAGGUCCAUCAGUCCUACAGACCUAAUAAUCCUAUAAGUCUAGGUCCAUCAGUCCUACAGACCUAAUAACCCUAUAAGUCUAGGUCCAUCAGUCCUACAGACCUAAUAACCCUAUAAGUCUAGGUCCAUCAGUCCUACACAGACCUAAUAACCCUAUAAGUCUAGGUCCAUCAGUCCUACACAAACCUAAUACUCUCUAUCAGUCCUACACAGACCUAAUAACCCUUUAAGUCUAGGUCCAUCAGUCCUACAGACCUAAUAAUCCUAUAAGUCUAGGUCCAUCAGUCCUACAGACCUAAUAACCCUAUAAGUCUAGGUCCAUCAGUCCUACAGACCUAAUAACCCUAUAAGUCUAGGUCCAUCAGUCCUACACAGACUUUAUAACCCUAUAUGUCUAUGUCCAUCAGUCCUACACAGACUUUAUAACCCUAUAAGUCUAGGUCCAUCAGUCCUACACAGACCUAAUAACCCUAUAAGUCUAGGUCCAUCAGUCCUACACAGACCUAAUAACCCUAUAAGUCUAGGCCCAUCAGUCCUUCACAGACCUAAUAACCCUAUAUGUCUAGGUCCAUCAGUCCUACACAGACCUAAUAACCCUAUAAGUAUAGGUCCAUCAGUCCUACACAGACCUAAUAACCCUAUAAGUCUAGGUCCAUCAGUCCUACACAGCCCUAUAACCCUAUAAGUCUAGGUCCAUCAGUCCGGCACAGACCUAAUAUUCUAUCAGUGGUCUGUAGACCUUAUACUCUAUCAGUCCUCUGUAGACCUUAAUACUCUAUCAGUCCUGUGUAGACCUUAUACUCUAUCAGUGGUCUGUAGACCUUAAUACUCUAUCAGUCCUGUGUAGACCUUAUACUCUAUCAGUGGUCUGUAGACCUUAAUACUCUAUCAGUCCUCUGUAGACCUUAUACUCUAUCAGUGGUCUGUAGACCUUAAUACUCUAUCAGUCCUCUGUAGACCUUAUACUCUAUCAGUCCUCUGUAUACCUUAUACUCUAUCAGUCCUCUGUAUACCUUAUACUCUAUCAGUCCUGUAUAGACUUUAUACUCUAUCAGUCCUCUGUAGACCUUAUACUCUAUCAGUCCUCUGUAGACCUUAUACUCUAUCAGUGGUCUGUAGACCUUUUACUCUAUCAGUGGUCAGUAGACCUUAUACUCUAUCAGUGGUCUGUAGACCUUAAUACUCUAUCAGUCCUGUGUAGACCUUAUACUCUAUCAGUGGUCUGUAGACCUUAAUACUCUAUCAGUCCUGUGUAGACCUUUUACUCUAUCAGUCCUCUGUAUACCUUAUACUCUAUCAGUGGUCAGUAGACCUUAUACUCUAUCAGUGGUCUGUAGACCUUAAUACUCUAUCAGUCCUCUGUAGACCUUAAUACUCUAUCAGUCCUGUGUAGACCUUUUACUCUAUCAGUGGUCUGUAGACCUUAAUACUCUAUCAGUGGUCUGUAGACCUUAAUACUCUAUCAGUCCUGUGUAGACCUUAUACUCUAUCAGUGGUCUGUAGACCUUAUACUCUAUCAGUGGUCUGUAGACCUUAAUACUCUAUCAGUCCUGUGUAGACCUUUUACUCUAUCAGUCCUCUGUAUACCUUAUACUCUAUCAGUGGUCAGUAGACCUUAUACUCUAUCAGUGGUCUGUAGACCUUAAUACUCUAUCAGUCCUCUGUAGACCUUAAUACUCUAUCAGUCCUCUGUAGACCUUAAUACUCUAUCAGUGGUCUGUAGACCUUAAUACUCUAUCAGUCCUGUGUAGACCUUAUACUCUAUCAGUGAUCUGUAGACCUUAUAAUCUAUCAGUGGUCUGUAGACCUUUUACUCUAUCAGUGGUCUGAUCUUUUAUAUGUAAGGGAGAUUACUCGCUGUCCUUUGGAAGUUUUAACUUGACAAGUAAUCUUAUGUAAUAUGGUACCCUUCACGAUAACAUUAAGGUUAUCCUGACAUAAUUUGAUAUUGAGAAUUUUAUGGAAAUUGUAACUUCGUCAUCUGUCCCAAAUAUUCUACAUUUACAUUCUAUCACAUUAUUUUGUGUUUCUGCCCUAUAUUUUUGUUGAGAUUAGUUUGUAUGUUUUAACCAUAUGUACCCGUAUAUCACAUGGGUGUUAAUUUGGCCAUUGAAUAUUUCAUAAUAUAUAUUCUUAUUGAGCUAUCAUAGUGAUAUAUUUCAAAUAUUGGACUUCUAUUUUGGCUUUAUUUAAAUGUAAGUAAAUUAUGUAUACUAUUGUCACCACAAGUGGAAAUGGCUGCUGUACCUUCCUAUAUGAGCUGUCAUUCUAUACAUACAGCCUGUAAUAGGUCAAUCCACAGUCUACGUAUGAUGUGUCUGUGGAUUAAUCCACACAUAGACUGUAUAGGAUGUGUCUGUGGAUCAAUCCACACAGACUUUGUAGGAUGUGUCUGGAUCAAUCCACAAAGCCUGUGUAGGAUGUGUCUGUGUGGGUCAAUCCACACAUAGCCUACAUAUGAUGUGUCUGUGGGUCAAUCCACACAUAGACUUUGUAGGAUGUGUCUGUGGAUCAAUCCACACACAGACUGUGUAGGAUGUGUCUGUGUGGGUCAAUCCACACAUAGACUGUGUAGGAUAUGUCUGUGUAGGUCAAUCCACACAUAGACUGUGUAGGAUGUGUCUAUGUAAGUCAAUCCACACAAAGACUGUGUAGGAUGUGUCUGUGUGGGUCAAUCCACACAUAGCCUACAUAUGAUGUGUCUGUGUGGGUCAAUCCACACAUAGUCUAUGUAGGAUGUGUCUGUGGGUCAAUCCACACAUAGACUGUGUAGGAUGUGUCUGUGUGGGUCAAUCCACACAUAGCCUACGUAUGAUGUGUCUGUGUAGGUCAAUCCACACAGACUGUAGGAUGUGUCUGUGUGGGUCAAUCCACACAUAGACUGUGUAGGAUGUGUCUGUAUGUCAAUCCACACAGACUGUGUAGGAUGUGUCUGUGUGUUGUUCAACAAAAAGUACAAUAAAAAUCUAAAACAUGA
Molecule: long non-coding RNA, 10481 nt
Organism: Pecten maximus
Lineage: Eukaryota; Metazoa; Mollusca; Bivalvia; Pectinida; Pectinidae
Exons: 3
Source: RefSeq, a predicted model, not a curated record